AAGGAAAUUUUUGUNCAAUGGGCGAAAGCYUGACACAGCGACGCCGCGUGAGGGAUGAAGGCUUCGGGUUGUAAACCUCUUUACUCAGGGAAGAAUAAUGACGGUACCUGAGGAAUAAGUCUCGGCUAACUACGUGCCAGCAGCCGCGGUAAUACGUAGGAGGCGAGCGUUAUCCGGAUUUACUGGGCGUAAAGCGGGCGUAGGCGGCUUUUCAAGUCGGAUGUGAAAUCUCCCGGCUUAAUAGGGAGGGGUCAUUCGAUACUNUUAAGCUAGAGGGCAGCAGGGGGAGGUGGAAUUCCCGGUGGAGUGGUGAAAUGCGUAGAUAUCGGGAGGAACACCAGUGGCGAAGGCGGCCUCCUGGGCUGUUGCUGACGCUGAGGCCCGAAAGCGUGGGGAGCGAACAGGAUUAGAUACCCUGGUAGUCCACGCUGUAAACGAUGGAUACUAG
RNAcentral lists this ribosomal RNA (448 nucleotides) under uncultured Chloroflexota bacterium. Its description in RNAcentral is "bacterial SSU rRNA". It matches the Rfam family "Bacterial small subunit ribosomal RNA", at positions 354 to 819 of the family's 1533-position model. The record is from RNAcentral. Lineage: Bacteria; Bacillati; Chloroflexota.